RNAcentral lists this ribosomal RNA (253 nucleotides) under uncultured bacterium. RNAcentral's name for it is "partial 16S ribosomal RNA". It matches the Rfam family "Bacterial small subunit ribosomal RNA", at positions 524 to 776 of the family's 1533-position model. The record is from RNAcentral.
GACGGAGGGUGCUAGCGUUGUUCGGAAUCACUGGGCGUAAAGGGCGCGCAGGCGGCCCGGCCAGUCGGACGUGAAAGCCCGGGGCUCAACCCCGGAACGGCGUCCGAGACGGCCGGGCUGGAGACCGGGAGAGGAGGGUGGAAUAGCCAGUGUAGAGGUGAAAUUCGUAGAUAUUGGCUGGAACACCGGUGGCGAAGGCGGCUUUCUGGACAAAUACCGACGCUGAGGCACGAAAGCUAGGGGAGCAAACAGG